AAAUAACAUUCUUAAAAUACCAGUGUUGUUUACAGUCAUGUGAAAAAGUAUACCCAUUUUAACAUAUUUGGAUGUAUGGUUAUGUACUCUUAAUCACUAUUGAAGAUUGAGGUAACCCAAUUUAACAAUUGAUAAUUAAAAAUGUUAAUUUAAUAUAAAAUCAAUAGAAAUGCAAGUUCAUAUUGCAGGGGAAAAAACAUUACUACACACAGCUUCAAUAACCUGUGUUGCCGCCAUCGGCUGUGAGCGUCUAUCAGUCACUUAUUGGAUUGGGGACUUUUUUUACAGUACUGCUUGAACUGUCAUGUUCAAGAGCUUUUCUUGCAUGUACAGCCCGCUUUAGAUCACCCUCACAGUAUUUUGAUAGCCAUUGUAACUUUUGUUUUUCAUUCUCCUAUUGCAAGAUUCGGGUUUUGGUUCAGCUUUUUGCCAGAUGUUCUCACAUCUCCUCAAGAAUUCUUUGGUACAAAUGGAUCAUCAUGGUUGAUUCAAUGAUGGCAAGUUGGUCAGGCCCUUAGGCAGCAAAGCAGUCCCAAAUCAUACCUCAUCCAUGCUUUACGGGGUUACUUCAGAAAAUCAAAACCUGCGUCCUCAAACUUGCGAACUACAUUCCUCGAUAAUAGGCAUUCUGCUAUCCGGAAUC
This is a long non-coding RNA of Esox lucius (northern pike), 643 nucleotides long. RefSeq lists it as uncharacterized. NCBI's taxonomy places the organism in Eukaryota, Metazoa, Chordata, Actinopteri, Esociformes, Esocidae. The record is from RefSeq and is a predicted model, not a curated record. The transcript has 3 exons.